CACAGGAGCCACAACAGGUUCAUCUGUUUCCGGUGACGCAUCGGCCACUUGGCUCACUUCAUCAAGGAUUCUUGCUGAACUGGCACAGCCAAAGGCAAGGACUAGCAGCAAAAUGCAGAACAUGGCUCGGAUUGUUUUAGAGGUGAGUUUGUUAACUUUCGCCAUCUUUUCUUGAAAACAGUGCUACGAUAAGAUAUUAGAAGAAACAAAUGAAGUAGAGUCGAUUCUCAAUUGAUGAUGAAAGACUGGUGUCUCAAUGGUUAUAUAUAGUUUUGUUACAUCCUAAUAAUAAGUGGAGUUGCUAAGGUGGUUUUGGUAAGGACUAAUAAGAUACCCUUUGCAGAAUACCAAAUCCAAAAUGGACAUUAGGUUCGGUUGAACCACUCCGAAAACUUUUUUCUGAUUUUAUCUAGACAGUUAUGUUACCAAAUAUUUUUAGGAGUAAAUCGUAUCGAUGUUCAUAUACUAGGGACUUCACAGAAACUUCCAUCUUUUCAACAUCUACAGUUGGAGUUGCCAUAGUCUCGUUCUUCCUGUAUUUCCGAGCUUUAGGAAAAAACAUACUUCCUCCAUUUCAAUGUGUUUGUCUUACUUUCCUUUUUAGUCCGUUCCAAAAAGAACGUCUCUUUCCUUUUUUGACAACUCUUUAAUUCUAACUUUCCGCAUGACAUGUUUAAGACCAUAAGAUUAACGGACAUUUUGGUACAUUCUACAUAUAUUUCGUUUGUGACGACAUGAUUCAAAAGUCUUUUUUAUUUUGUUAAAUUCCGUGUCAAGUCAAACCAGACAAACAAAUUGAAACGGAGGGAGUAAUUCUAGCGGCCGAGUCCAACUUAAGUUUCCUCAUAGAUGAUAAAAUAUAGAAAUUGCAGUAAAUCUCGUUGAAGGCAGAAAAAUUCCGUGUUAUCGCACAAUUCCGGAAAAAAUGAGUUCCUAAACUCCGGAAUUCUCCAUAGGUUUCCUGUACCCGAUACUUAGCGUACAUCUUCAAGAAUCCUCAAAAUAUGUAUAAUCUAUUCGUCUUCCAACAUUAUUUGAUUUUCUUUUUUUCAACGUCUUUGCAGCUUAUUCUGUGCUCCUUAACUGGUAACAUCUGUUAACUGUUAACGUUAUGAAUUUAGUCAGUCGAUUUAACAAUAUUAUGUGUCCCUACUGAAGAUCUGUGCUGUUUAUGUAACAUCUCCCUUUGUAUCGAAACGAACGAAACGAACCAAAAGUUCCGAAAAAAAAAAAAAAGUAGUAUGCAAGAUAAAAGUGAUAGGAAAAAUUGUAAUCCUUCAAUAUAUGUUGAAUAAUUUAACCAAGAUAAACAUUGAAUGAAAGAAUCUUGUAUGGUCCUUCACUUUUAUUAGAUAUUACAUUGAUAAUCUUGACAGUAGCGUAGCCGUUUGCAUCGUGAUACUUUCCGGUACCACCAAUAACUGCUAUAUGUGAUUCAAAAACAUCGCCCCUAUGUACUCCGAAAAGCCUUAGACUAUCCUCGUACUCGUUACCAAGAAAACUAGCAGUCAUCGCCAUCAUGUGACUGCUACCGUCUUCUGAACUGUCUACAUAUACUCCUUUUGCUUUUCCCAUCAAAGAUGAACCGUAAAUGGAACCUUCAUAUAUGUCCUCAUCGAUUGCUGUCACUGUCGUUAGCUGUAGUUCUUCAAGUGUGGUUAUAGCCGGGAAUGUCAUGCUGAUCAUUCCGCUCAUUCCGACACUUGGAUUUGUGUUAGUCAACGGAAUGCCUCCUACCGGAGGGAAAUACCCUUGAUGAUGACUGUUUACUCUCGUCGAUGCAGGUCUUGAUGAAGGAUUUUUAUGGCUAAGAACAUCGAACAUGUAAAACGACAUCUCAUGACGCGCAUGAUUAUGAUGACGGUUCGUCGAGGACGGGUUGUUGUUCAGAGUUCUAGCUGAAAAUGAUUGAUUGAUCAAUGUCAAGAAGAAGAACAAGAACCAAGAAAUGACUAGUUUGGAAGGAGACUUUAGCUUUAACAUCUUGAUUGUUUUGUUGAAGACUUUGUGAACCAAGUUAAAAAGGGGAAUUCUAUAAUAUAUUUUUUCUCAAAAAAGUGGA
This 2062-nucleotide long non-coding RNA is filed under the name Capsicum annuum. RNAcentral describes it as "long non-coding RNA (CANN_LNC009009)". The record is from RNAcentral. Lineage: Eukaryota; Viridiplantae; Streptophyta; Magnoliopsida; Solanales; Solanaceae.